This 72-nucleotide transfer RNA is filed under the name Aspergillus coremiiformis. It matches the Rfam family "tRNA". Rfam says of the family: Transfer RNA (tRNA) molecules are approximately 80 nucleotides in length. Their secondary structure includes four short double-helical elements and three loops (D, anti-codon, and T loops). The record is from Rfam by way of RNAcentral. Lineage: Eukaryota; Fungi; Ascomycota; Eurotiomycetes; Eurotiales; Aspergillaceae.
GCCCUUAUAGCAUAGUGGUAGUGCGUCGCACUUGUAAUGCGGAGGUCCGCGGUUCAAUCCCGCGUGGGGGCA